GACGAACGCUGGCGGCGUGCUUAACACAUGCAAGUCGAACGGAAAGGCCUCUUUCGGGGGGUACUCGAGUGGCGAACGGGUGAGUAACACGUGAGUAACCUGCCCUUGACUUUGGGAUAACUUCAGUAAACUGGGGCUAAUACCGGAUAGGAGCUCCUUCUGCAUGGUUGGGGUUGGAAAGUUUCGGCGGUUGGGGAUGGACUCGCGGCUUAUCAGCUUGUUGGUGGGGUAGUGGCUUACCAAGGCUUUGACGGGUAGCCGGCCUGAGAGGGUGACCGGCCACAUUGGGACUGAGAUGCGGCCCAGACACCUACGGGAGGCAGCAGUGGGGAAUAUUGCACAAGGGGUGGAAGCCUGAUGCAGUAACGCCGUGUGCGGGAUGACGGCCUUCGGGUUGUAAACCGAUUUCGCUCAUGACGAAGCUUUGUGUGACGGUAGUGGGUAAAGAAGCACCGGCUAACUACGUG
RNAcentral lists this ribosomal RNA (467 nucleotides) under uncultured bacterium. RNAcentral describes it as "partial 16S ribosomal RNA". It matches the Rfam family "Bacterial small subunit ribosomal RNA", at positions 28 to 507 of the family's 1533-position model. The record is from RNAcentral.